UUGACCUCGAAUCAGGUAGGAAUACCCGCUGAACUUAAGCAUAUCAAUAAGCGGAGGAAAAGAAACCAACAGGGAUUGCCUCAGUAACGGCGAGUGAAGCGGCAACAGCUCAAAUUUGAAAUCUGGCCUCCUGGUCCGAGUUGUAAUUUGCAGAGGAUGCUUCGGGCGCGGUGCCUUCCAAGUCCCCUGGAACGGGGCGCCGGAGAGGGUGAGAGCCCCGUACGGUUGGCGGCCAAGCCUGUGUGAAGCUCCUUCGACGAGUCGAGUAGUUUGGGAAUGCUGCUCUAAGCGGGAGGUAGACCCCUUCUAAAGCUAAAUAUUGGCCAGAGACCGAUAGCGCACAAGUAGAGUGAUCGAAAGAUGAAAAGCACUUUGAAAAGAGGGUUAAACAGCACGUGAAAUUGUUGAAAGGGAAGCGCUUGAGACCAGACGUGCGCCGGGGUGCUCAGCGGGCGUUCUCGCCCGUGCACUCGCCCCGGCGCAGGCCAGCGUCGGUUUGGGCGGGGGGAUAAAGGCGUCUGGAAUGUGGCUCCCCCGGGAGUGUUAUAGCCAGGCGUGCCAUGCCUCCGCCCGGACCGAGGUACGCGUUCUGCAAGGACGCUGGCGUAAUGGUCCCCAGCGACCCGUCUUGAAACACGGACCAAGGAGUCGAGGUUUUGCGCGAGUGUUUGGGUGAAAAACCCGCACGCGUAAUGAAAGUGAACGUAGGUGAGAGCUUCGGCGCAUCACCGACCGAUCCUGAUGUUUUCGGAUGGAUUUGAGUAAGAGCGUAGGGCCUCGGACCCGAAAGAUGGUGAACUAUGCUUGGAUAGGGUGAAGCCAGAGGAAACUCUGGUGGAGGCUCGCAGCGGUUCUGACGUGCAAAUCGAUCGUCAAAUCUGAGCAUGGGGGCGAAAGACUAAUCGAACCAUCUAGUAGCUGGUUACCGCCGAAGUUUCCCUCAGGAUAGCAGUGUUGUUCUUCAGUUUUAUGAGGUAAAGCGAAUGAUUAGGGACUCGGGGGCGCUAUUUAGCCUUCAUCCAUUCUCAAACUUUAAAUAUGUAAGAAGCCCUUGUUGCUUAAUUGAACGUGGGCAUUCGAAUGUACCAACACUAGUGGGCCAUUUUUGGUAAGCAGAACUGGCGAUGUGGGAUGAACCAUACGGGGGGUUAAGGUGCCAGAGUAGACGCUCAUCAGACACCACAAAAGGCGUUAGCACAUCUUGACAGCAGGACGGUGGCCAUGGAAGUCGGAAUCCGCUAAGGACUGUGUAACAACUCACCUGCCGAAUGUGCUAGCCCUGAAAAUGGAUGGCGCUCAAGCGUCUCACCCAUACCCCCCCCUCAGGGUAGACACGAUGCCCUGAGGAGUAGGCGGCCGCAGUGCUGUGUGACGAAGGCUAGGGCGUGAGCCCGGCUCGAACCGGCGCUGGUGCGGAUCUUGGUGGUAGUAGCAAAUACUUCAAUGAGAACUUGAAGGACCGAAGUGGGGAAAGGUUCCAUAUGAACAGCGGUUGGAUGUGGGUUAGUCGAUCCUAAGCCAUAGGGAAGUUCCGUUUCAAAGGGGCACUUGUGCCCCGUGUGGCGAAAGGGAAGCCGGUUAAUAUCCCGGCACCUGGAUGUGGGUUUUUCGCGGCAACGCAACCGAACGCGGAGACGGCGGCGGGGGCCCCGGGCAGAGUUCUCUUUUCUUCUUAACGGCCUCUCACCCUGGAAACAGUUUGUCUGGAGAUAGGGUUUAACGACCGGAAGAGCCCGGCACUUCUGCCGGGUCCGGCGCGCCCUCGACGUCCCUUGAAAAUCCGCGGGAGGGAAUAAUUCUCACGCUAGGUCGUACUCAUAACCGCAGCAUGUCUCCAAGG
Molecule: ribosomal RNA, 1840 nt
Filed under: Chloridium detriticola var. detriticola
Lineage: Eukaryota; Fungi; Ascomycota; Sordariomycetes; Chaetosphaeriales; Chaetosphaeriaceae
Description: partial large subunit ribosomal RNA
Rfam family: Eukaryotic large subunit ribosomal RNA
Source: RNAcentral